Molecule: ribosomal RNA, 580 nt
Filed under: uncultured rumen bacterium
Lineage: Bacteria
Description: bacterial SSU rRNA
Rfam family: Bacterial small subunit ribosomal RNA
Source: RNAcentral
ACAGUUGGAAACGACUGCUAAUACCGCAUAACGUAUCGAGGGGGCAUCCUCUUGAUACCAAAGGAGCAAUCCGCUGAAAGAUGGGCUCACGUCUGAUUAGUUAGUUGGCAGGGUAACGGCCUACCAAGACUGCGAUCAGUAGCCGGACUGAGAGGUUGAACGGCCACAUUGGGACUGAGAUACGGCCCAGACUCCUACGGGAGGCAGCAGUGGGGAAUAUUGGGCAAUGGGCGAAAGCCUGACCCAGCAACGCCGCGUGAAGGAAGAAGGUCUUCGGAUUGUAAACUUCUUUUAUGAGGGACGAAGGACGUGACGGUACCUCAUGAAUAAGCCACGGCUAACUACGUGCCAGCAGCCGCGGUAAUACGUAGGUGGCAAGCGUUAUCCGGAUUUACUGGGUGUAAAGGGCGCGUAGGCGGGAGAGCAAGUCAGGUGUGAAAUCCAUGGGCCUAACCCAUGAACUGCACUUGAAACUGUUUUUCUUGAGUGCUGGAGAGGUAGACGGAAUUCCUUGUGUAGCGGUGAAAUGCGUAGAUAUAAGGAAGAACACCAGUGGCGAAGGCGGUCUACUGGACAGUAA